UGCAGUCGAACGAACCUUCGGGUUAGUGGCGGACGGGUGAGUAACGCGUGGGAAUCUGCCCUCAGGAGGGGGAUAACGGCUGGAAACGGCCGCUAAUACCCCAUAUGCCGAGAGGUGAAAUGAAUUUCGCCUGAGGAUGAGCCCGCGUCUGAUUAGCUAGUUGGUGAGGUAAGAGCUCACCAAGGCAUCGAUCAGUAGCUGGUCUGAGAGGAUGAUCAGCCACACUGGGACCGAGACACGGCCCAGACUCCUACGGGAGGCAGCAGUGGGGAAUUUUCCGCAAUGGGCGAAAGCCUGACGGAGCAACGCCGCGUGAGGGAUGAAGGCCUCUGGGCUGUAAACCUCUUUUCUCAAGGAAGAAGAUCUGACGGUACUUGAGGAAUAAGCCACGGCUAAUUCCGUGCCAGCAGCCGCGGUAAUACGGGAGUGGCAAGCGUUAUCCGGAAUUAUUGGGCGUAAAGCGUCCGCAGGCGGCCCUUCAAGUCUGCUGUUAAAACGUGGAGCUUAACUCCAUCAUGGCAGUGGAAACUGUUGGGCUUGAGUGUGGUAGGGGCAGAGGGAAUUCCCGGUGUAGCGGUGAAAUGCGUAGAUAUCGGGAAGAACACCAGUGGCGAAGGCGCUCUGCUGGGCCAUAACUGACGCUCAUGGACGAAAGCCAGGGGAGCGAAAGGGAUUAGAUACCCCUGUAGUCCUGGCCGUAAACGAUGAACACUAGGUGUCGGGGGAAUCGACCCCCUCGGUGUCGUAGCCAACGCGUUAAGUGUUCCGCCUGGGGAGUACGCACGCAAGUGUGAAACUCAAAGGAAUUGACGGGGGCCCGCACAAGCGGUGGAGUAUGUGGUUUAAUUCGAUGCAGCGCGAAGAACCUUACCAGGGUUUGACAUCCUGCGAACCUCUUGGAA
This 902-nucleotide ribosomal RNA is filed under the name uncultured marine bacterium. Its description in RNAcentral is "bacterial SSU rRNA". It matches the Rfam family "Bacterial small subunit ribosomal RNA", at positions 56 to 1005 of the family's 1533-position model. The record is from RNAcentral.